This is a long non-coding RNA of Dermochelys coriacea (leatherback sea turtle), 1905 nucleotides long. RefSeq lists it as uncharacterized. The transcript has 2 exons. The record is from RefSeq and is a predicted model, not a curated record. Lineage: Eukaryota; Metazoa; Chordata; Testudines; Dermochelyidae.
UGUGCUCUAGGGUGAUCUCCAGUUUCUCUUUCUACUACAAAAACAGUAAGUAAUUUGCAAGAUGGGGGAGUGGGGGUGGAAAAGGAUAAAGUUUGUCCAGUGGGACGUGCUGAUGUCUUUUCCGGGGAAAUCUCUCUGGAGAAUCAGCCUGGUGACACACAUAUAACAGGGUCUUUCCAGCCCUGCUGACACAUCUCACAGUUUUUCACUUUGUGUAGAAGCAGAGACAAAAGACCCUUCUUUUAUCUCCCGCAGUUUCAUUUGGGUCUCAGUACCAGCCCGCGCACAUGGCACGCCUCGUUCUUGCUGAUACAACUGUUCUAUUUUUCAGCAGUGCAGCUGGCAAGCCUGGAAAUGGCAGAAACAUGACCCAAGGGCCUGCCAUUGCACACUGCAUUACAUGUGAUAGCCAAAGCUGUUCGGCUUUUCGCACCACUAGAAAUUCAAUAGGGAUGUGUUACAUUAGCACAUGUAACAAUCCUGGCUGGUAGCAAGCCUACGGUUUCUUUGUGUUUUUUUCCCCCCACUGCUCUACUGUCUUUGCAGAAGACAUUUUUAUUUAGUGUGCUGUACCUCCAUUUGAAGCAAAUGUGCCAACCUUCUCUUCCCCCCGCCCGGAAGGCUUGGGUUUUGUUUUUGUUGUUAGUGGUGAUGGUUUGUUUUCAAAGUACAGCCUUCCUGAUAAUUUUGCCAAUAGGAUUCCUUAUAGCUGUAUUAGCAAACACACCCUCGUUCACAUACAGAUAAGCGUGCAAAAUGCACAUAAUGUCCGAUUUAUUAGCUUGGGUCACGUGAUAGUAUCAAGAAUUGAUGUUAACACUAAGUGGCAUUAGCAGUACCUUCCUAUCAGAACAACGUUCAUUGUCAGUUACACUACUAGAGCAGCAGUUGUGCUACAUUAUAAAUAAUUAUAUUAUCCACAUUCAGCUUGUAUCGUUGUACACAAUGCUGGUACUAUAUCACACUUCAUUAACAUGCUAGACAGGACAGCUCCCACAGAAAUACAUUUCCUGACACUUUUCAUUUGAAAUAUUAUUCUACUAAUUAAUAUACUGUAGAUCAGAAAUUACACAAGCCGGGUAAAAAUUAGCUUUCCUAUAUUAAUAGAGGAAGAGCAUUAAUUAAAAUCCAUUCUCCUGAAAAUUAUCACUUUACAAACUUACAGAGAAGCUGUCAAGGUUGGUAAAUCCCAGAUUUGACACCCUUUGUUUUCCUGUCUCUCUCUGCAAAGUCCCUAUAAUUCUCCGUGUCUUUGUCAUCACAAAAACGUAAUUGCUCUUUAAAAACAAAUCAGCAACCUGGCAUAUAAGAACAAACCUAUGAUACCACAUCAGUGUGAUUAUGGAAUGGAGGUAACCAAAGAGGUCUUGUUCCUUUUUCCAGAGGGGAGGGGCAGGAAGUGGUUGCUACAUUAUUAAAUAUUACUUGUUUAAAUUAUUGUGCCUGGUGCUGUAUAAAACAUGAUGAGCUCUGCUUCUUUCUUUGAUCAGUCCUUCCUGGGUGGGACAAGCUCUGCCAGGAGCCUGUCAAAGGUGGGGAAGAGGCAACACUCUACCUCCUAUUCCCUCUGUCCCUUGCUUCCCUCCUUCCAAUAGCUCUGGCACCACAUCUCUUACAAGGCCAGAGCAGGAGACUUGUGCUGACUAGACUGUGUUACUGAUUCCUCAGACUCAUGUUGCAAUGUUGUCACCUGACAAGUUUGGCACAUGGCUUGUGUGAAACAUACGCUGGCUAUAUGGUAAGGGAGAAGUGGAGCAGCACAAAACAUUUCACAGUGAGGAAAGACCAUGUCUGAGAUAAACAUUUGUAGUUUUAAAGAACCCAACCCCAUUGUUUGAUGAGAAGAAAAGCCAGAACCUUUCAGAUGUUCUGAAAAGAAGUUCUUAGGACAUCAGGACAGCCUAU